RNAcentral lists this ribosomal RNA (448 nucleotides) under uncultured bacterium. RNAcentral describes it as "partial 16S ribosomal RNA". It matches the Rfam family "Bacterial small subunit ribosomal RNA", at positions 29 to 523 of the family's 1533-position model. The record is from RNAcentral.
AGCGAACAUUGGCGGUAGGCUUAACACAUGCAAGUCGAGCGAGGCGUAAUAGUCGAGCGGCGAACGGGUGAGUAAUACAUGGGAAUCUACCUCGAAGUGGGGAUAACGUUCAGAAAUGGACGCUAAUACCGCAUAAUCCGGGAACGGGAAAGCGCGCUGCGCUUUGAGAUGAGCCCAUGGCUGAUUAGCUAGUUGGUGGGGUAAAGGCCUACCAAGGCGACGAUCAGUAGCUGGUCUGGGAGGAUGAUCAGCCACACUGGACUGAGACACGGUCCAGACUCCUACGGGAGGCAGCAGUGGGGAAUCUUGCGCAAUGGGGGCAACCCUGACGCAGCCAUACCGCGUGUGUGAUGAAGGUCUUCGGAUUGUAAAGCACUUUCAGUAGGGACGACGAUGACGGUACCUACAGAAGAAGUCACGGCUAACUUCGUGCCAGCAGCCGCCGUAA